AGUGAACGCUGGCGGCGUGCUUAAUACAUGCCAGUCGAACGAUGAAGUCCUAGCUUGCUUGGUUGGAUUAGUGGCGCACGGGUGAGUAAUAUAUAGUUAAUCUGCCUUUCACUGAGGAACAACAGUUGGAAACGAUUGCUAAUACCUCAUACUACAACUUUACAUAAGUUAAGUUGGGAAAGUCUUUUCGGUGCAAGAUGAGACUAUAUCGUAUCAGCUAGUUGGUAAGGUAAUGGCUUACCAAGGCUAUGACGCGUAACUGGUCUGAGAGGAUGAUCAGUCACAUUGGAACGGAGACACGGUCCAAACUCCUACGGGAGGCAGCAGUAAGGAAUAUUGUGCAAUGGGGGAAACCCUGACGCAGCAACGCCGCGUGGAGGAUGACAAUUUUCGGAGCGUAAACUCCUUUUGUUAGGGAAGAAUAAUGACGGUACCUAACGAAUAAGCAACGGCUAACUCCGUG
RNAcentral lists this ribosomal RNA (463 nucleotides) under uncultured bacterium. RNAcentral's name for it is "partial 16S ribosomal RNA". It matches the Rfam family "Bacterial small subunit ribosomal RNA", at positions 29 to 507 of the family's 1533-position model. The record is from RNAcentral.